Molecule: ribosomal RNA, 251 nt
Filed under: Dictyocoela muelleri
Lineage: Eukaryota; Fungi; Microsporidia
Description: partial small subunit ribosomal RNA
Rfam family: Microsporidia small subunit ribosomal RNA
Source: RNAcentral
UGCAUGUGUAAGCGAAGCUAUAUGUGGAGCGGUGAAAGGCUCAGUAACGGGCGAUUUAUUUAAUCUCCUGGGACGGACAACAUCGGGAAACUGAUGGGAAAACGUCUAAGUUGCAUUAAUUUUAGUGUGACGUAAACGGAUACGUGCAGGAGAGUAAGAUGCCAUCCUAUCAGUUAGUAAGUAGGGUAAGGGCCUACUUAGACGAAGACGGGUACGGGGAAUGAGGGUUUGAUUCCGGAGAGGGAGCCUGA